UAAUGCGUUUAUAUCGACAAUUAUUAAUCUCGACUGUCAGGUUAAUCCGUUCCACGAAACACGUGGCCUCAUUUUCAAAGUCUACGUUUCUUUUCCAAGCUCUCUGCCAUAUCUCAUUUUCAUUCUCACCGAAAACCGAACCAAUCGAGAUUUGAAUGGCACACUGUCACUUGUUAAUAAACCAUCCACAUCACAUGUGCUUUGACACAUCGAAAUAAUAUCAUGAUAAUAAUAAUUUUAUUGAACCACUAAGAAUAUCGAAAUCAUUGACAUUAGCCAGAGAACUAAUACCAUAAUAAUGUAUUAUGUCCGAAAA
Cinara cedri is the source of this 316-nucleotide non-coding RNA. The record is from the annotation of a GenBank genome assembly. NCBI's taxonomy places the organism in Eukaryota, Metazoa, Arthropoda, Insecta, Hemiptera, Aphididae.